RNAcentral lists this long non-coding RNA (1332 nucleotides) under Canis lupus familiaris (dog). RNAcentral's name for it is "lncRNA (ENSCAFG00845013858.1)". Lineage: Eukaryota; Metazoa; Chordata; Mammalia; Carnivora; Canidae. The record is from RNAcentral.
UAAAUAUUAUGGUGUUAGAAAAAAAUAAUGAUAUGAUAACUACUUCUGCUCAAUUAUACUUCUUCAAGUGUCUCUUGCCUUGGCUCUUUACAAUCCUAUGUAAAUUUUAGAAACAUACUGUCACAUUCCACAAAAAAAAUCAGUUGAGAUUUUAAUUGGGAUCCUAUUAAAUCUAUGUUUAGGAUUUAGUGUUCUGAUUUAUGAACAUAGUAUAUAUCUCUUUAUAUAUAUUUCCUUUGAUGCUUUUCUAUAAGAGUUUUACAAUUUUCUCUGUUAUACAUUUGUUUUUUUGAUUUUUGUUUUUUUUGUUUGUUUUUUGUUUUUUUAAAUUUUUAUUUAUUUAUGAUAGUCACAGAGAGAGAGAGAGAGGCAGAGACACAGGCAGAGGGAGAAGCAGGCUCCAUGCACCGGGAGCCUGAUGUGGGAUUCGAUCCCGGGUCUCCAGGAUCGCGCCCUGGGCCAAAGGCAGGCGCCAAACCGCUGCGCCACCCAGGGAUCCCAGAUUUUUGGUUUUUUGAUUUAUUCCAGGUACUUGAUAUUUUUAGAUGUUAUUAUAAGAGGAUUUUUCCUUUUCAUCUUCUACCUAUUUGUUGUUGAUAUAUAAACAUACUUCAUAUUGGUUUUGCCUUCAACAGCAACUUUGAUAAAUCUAUAAUUCUAACGAUUAAGCUGAACUUUCUCAAAGAAUUGUUUAUAAACAAGUCUCUCUUUCCUCAUAUGGGACUCAUUUCUCAACUCACUACAUUCUCAUUUUCACCCUUUCCACACCAGUCAAACUACUGUUUUCAAUAUCAUCAAUAGCCCCUCCAUAUUGUCCAAUCCAAAAGACUCUCCUUGGAUUCCUCAAGACCUUGCAGAUAGGUUCCACAAGACCUUGUUUCUCCUCUUUCUGAUAUGCCAUCUUUUUUUCUUCUAUUACAAAGCACUCUCCUUAUUUUUCUCCUACUUCUCUGCUGGUCACUUUGCAGUUACCUCAUUCUGCCACUCUUCUACAUCCUGGUGUUUCUUGGGAUUCCAUCCUAGACCUUCUCUCUUCUCAUGCUGUAUACUGUUCCUCCUGGAGCUCUUCCAUCUAUUCUUAUGGCUUCUACAAUUGUUACACAAUGAUGAUUCUCACAUUUCAAACUCUUAGCCCAUAUUACUCUCUUGAGCAUCAGGCCACUACCCAAUUUCCCAGACAUCUCCAUUUGGAUCGUGCCUUAGGAAACAUACUUAAAAGUCUGAUAACUUUAACUAUCUAAAAAUAAUUAAUUUAUGCAAACUCAGCCUGCAUAAAACUUAACUUACUGAAAACAAAUAGAAAUGAAAAAUAACAUAGAAACAUUAAAAAAU